GGCCGUGUGGUGUAGUGGUAGCAUACUUGCUUUGGGAAAAAAUUCCUUUCUCAACACACAAAAAAGUGCAAAUCAAUUUGUUGCAAGUGGUCCCAGGUUCGAGCCCUGGCUCGGCCC
Non-coding RNA from Apiosordaria backusii, 117 nucleotides. The record is from the annotation of a GenBank genome assembly. NCBI's taxonomy places the organism in Eukaryota, Fungi, Ascomycota, Sordariomycetes, Sordariales, Lasiosphaeriaceae.